RNAcentral lists this ribosomal RNA (521 nucleotides) under uncultured bacterium. Its description in RNAcentral is "bacterial SSU rRNA". It matches the Rfam family "Bacterial small subunit ribosomal RNA", at positions 120 to 674 of the family's 1533-position model. The record is from RNAcentral.
GGGAAUCUGCCCUCAGGUUCGGAAUAACCAUUGGAAACGAUGGCUAAUACCGGAUGAUGACGUUAAGUCCAAAGAUUUAUCGCCUGAGGAUGAGCCCGCGUAGGAUUAGCUAGUUGGUGUGGUAAAGGCGCACCAAGGCGACGAUCCUUAGCUGGUCUGAGAGGAUGAUCAGCCACACUGGGACUGAGACACGGCCCAGACUCCUACGGGAGGCAGCAGUGGGGAAUAUUGGACAAUGGGCGCAAGCCUGAUCCAGCAAUGCCGCGUGAGUGAUGAAGGCCUUAGGGUUGUAAAGCUCUUUUACCCGGGAUGAUAAUGACAGUACCGGGAGAAUAAGCUCCGGCUAACUCCGUGCCAGCAGCCGCGGUAAUACGGAGGGAGCUAGCGUUGUUCGGAAUUACUGGGCGUAAAGCGCACGUAGGCGGCUUUGUAAGUUAGAGGUGAAAGCCUGGAGCUCAACUCCAGAAUUGCCUUUAAGACUGCAUCGCUUGAAUCCAGGAGAGGUGAGUGGAAUUCCGAGU